This 24-nucleotide non-coding RNA is filed under the name Arabidopsis thaliana (thale cress). Lineage: Eukaryota; Viridiplantae; Streptophyta; Magnoliopsida; Brassicales; Brassicaceae. The record is from RNAcentral.
GGCAUACUGAUGCCUAUUUGGCUG